Molecule: long non-coding RNA, 223 nt
Organism: Populus euphratica (Euphrates poplar)
Lineage: Eukaryota; Viridiplantae; Streptophyta; Magnoliopsida; Malpighiales; Salicaceae
Exons: 3
Source: RefSeq, a predicted model, not a curated record
CAGCAGCGAGUAGGGUUUUCGAGUUUUCCUUUUCCCCGCCGUCCAUCUCUAUUUCACUGUAACCUGCAGCUCGCAGUUCCUCGCGACCACCACAAACUCCAAUCAUGGCCGUCGGGAAGAACAAGAGAAUUUCCAAGGGAAAGAAGGGAGGAAAGAAGAAGGCAGCUGAUCCAUUUUCAAAGAAGGAUUGGUAUGAUAUCAAGGCUCCUUCAGUUUUCUCGGU